Non-coding RNA from Acanthosepion pharaonis, 93 nucleotides. Lineage: Eukaryota; Metazoa; Mollusca; Cephalopoda; Sepiida; Sepiidae. The record is from the annotation of a GenBank genome assembly.
CGUUAAAACACAGGUUCCCGCACGAUCGCUGAAGUUAAGCAACGUUGUGCCUGAUCUGUACCUAGAGGGUAACUGCUUGGGAAUAUCAGGUAG